AGUGAACGCUGGCGGUAGGCCUAACACAUGCAAGUCGAACGGCAGCACAGUAAGAGCUUGCUCUUACGGGUGGCGAGUGGCGGACGGGUGAGGAAUACAUCGGAAUCUACUUUUUCGUGGGGGAUAACGUAGGGAAACUUACGCUACUACCGCAUACGACCUACGGGUGAAAGCAGGGGAUCUUCGGACCUUGCGCGAUUGAUUGAGCCGAUGCCGGAUUAGCUAGUUGGCGGGGUAAAGGCCCACCAAGGCGACGAUCCGUAGCUGGUCUGAGAGGAUGAUCAGCCACAAUGGAACGGAGACACGGUCCAGACUCCUACGGGAGGCAGCAGUGGGGAAUAUUGGACAAUGGGCGGAAGCCUGAUCCAGCCAUACCGCGUGAGUGAAGAAGGCCUUCGGGUUGUAAAACCCUUUUGUUAGGAAAGAAAAGCAGCAGGUUAAUACCCCGCUGUUCUGACGGUACCCAAUGAAUAAGCACCGGCUAACUUCGUG
RNAcentral lists this ribosomal RNA (492 nucleotides) under uncultured bacterium. RNAcentral describes it as "partial 16S ribosomal RNA". It matches the Rfam family "Bacterial small subunit ribosomal RNA", at positions 29 to 507 of the family's 1533-position model. The record is from RNAcentral.